This 692-nucleotide ribosomal RNA is filed under the name uncultured bacterium. Its description in RNAcentral is "bacterial SSU rRNA". It matches the Rfam family "Bacterial small subunit ribosomal RNA", at positions 61 to 762 of the family's 1533-position model. The record is from RNAcentral.
GCUCCUAAUACUAAGUUUUCGGACAAGGUAGAGGGAUGACUUAGUGGCGGACGGGUGAGUAACGCGUGAGUAACCUGCCUUUCGGAGAGGGACAACAGCUGGAAACGGCUGCUAAUACCGCAUAACGUAUACUGAUGGCAUCAUCGGUAUACCAAAGAUUUAUCGCCGAAAGAUGGACUCGCGUCUGAUUAGCUAGUUGGUAGGGUAAAGGCCUACCAAGGCAACGAUCAGUAGCCGGACUGAGAGGUUGAACGGCCACAUUGGGACUGAGAUACGGCCCAGACUCCUACGGGAGGCAGCAGUGGGGAAUAUUGGGCAAUGGGGGAAACCCUGACCCAGCAACGCCGCGUGAAGGAAGAAGGCUUUCGGGUUGUAAACUUCUUUUAUGUGUGAAGAUAGUGACGGUAGCACAUGAAUAAGCCACGGCUAACUACGUGCCAGCAGCCGCGGUAAUACGUAGGUGGCAAGCGUUAUCCGGAUUUACUGGGUGUAAAGGGCGCGUAGGCGGGACUGUAAGUCUGGCGUGAAAUUUAUGGGCUUAACCCAUAAACUGCGUUGGAAACUAUGGUUCUUGAGUGAUGGAGAGGCAGUUGGAAUUCCGUGUGUAGCGGUGAAAUGCGUAGAUAUACGGAAGAACACCAGUGGCGAAGGCGAACUGCUGGACAUUAACUGACGCUGAGGCGCGAAAGCGU